This 516-nucleotide ribosomal RNA is filed under the name uncultured bacterium. RNAcentral's name for it is "bacterial SSU rRNA". It matches the Rfam family "Bacterial small subunit ribosomal RNA", at positions 43 to 518 of the family's 1533-position model. The record is from RNAcentral.
CAUGCCUAAGACAUGCAAGUCGAACGAAGUAGCCUAAUGAAGACCUAGUGCUUGCACGAAGUCAGAUUAGAUUCUACUUAGUGGCAGACGGGUGAGUAACACGUGGGUAACCUACCUCAGAGACUGGGAUAACGGUUAGAAAUGAUCGCUAAUACCGGAUGAUUCAUAGUUAGAUAACUAAUUAUGCUAAAAGAAGCGUUUGCUUCACUUUGAGAUGGGCUUGCGUUGUAUUAGUUAGUUGGUGGGGUAAUGGCCUACCAAGACAACGAUGCAUAUCCGAGCUGAGAGGCUGAUCGGACACACUGGGACUGAGACACGGCCCAGACUCCUACGGGAGACAGCAGUUAGGAAUAUUCGUCAAUGGGGGAAACCCUGAACGAGCAAUGCCGCGUGAGUGAUGAAGGUCUUAUAGAUUGUAAAACUCUGUUGUAGAGAAAGAAACCUUAAGAUAGGAAAUGAUCUUAAGCUGACGGUACUCUACCAGAAAGCCCCGGCUAACUACGUGCCAGCCGCCGC